CGUCGGCUAGCUCAGUUGGUAGAGCAGGGGGCCGAUAACCUCAAGGUCGCUGGUUCGAUCCCAGCGCCGACGA
Molecule: transfer RNA, 73 nt
Filed under: Halioglobus sp. HI00S01
Lineage: Bacteria; Pseudomonadati; Pseudomonadota; Gammaproteobacteria; Cellvibrionales; Halieaceae
Rfam family: tRNA
About the family: Transfer RNA (tRNA) molecules are approximately 80 nucleotides in length. Their secondary structure includes four short double-helical elements and three loops (D, anti-codon, and T loops). Further hydrogen bonds mediate the characteristic L-shaped molecular structure. tRNAs have two regions of fundamental functional importance: the anti-codon, which is responsible for specific mRNA codon recognition, and the 3' end, to which the tRNAs corresponding amino acid is attached (by aminoacyl-tRNA synthetases). tRNAs cope with the degeneracy of the genetic code in two manners: having more than one tRNA (with a specific anti-codon) for a particular amino acid; and 'wobble' base-pairing, i.e. permitting non-standard base-pairing at the 3rd anti-codon position.
Source: Rfam by way of RNAcentral